AGCUGGUCUGAAGGUAGUGAGUUGUCUCAAUGAUUGUUCACAGUUACAGACUGAACUUCUUCUACUCUUUCCACUCUUCUCACUACUGCACUUGCCUAGUUUCAU
This 105-nucleotide Y RNA is filed under the name Propithecus coquereli (Coquerel's sifaka). Its description in RNAcentral is "Y RNA (ENSPCOG00000006523.1)". It matches the Rfam family "Y RNA". From Rfam's summary of the family: Y RNAs are components of the Ro ribonucleoprotein particle (Ro RNP), in association with Ro60 and La proteins. The Y RNAs and Ro60 and La proteins are well conserved, but the function of the Ro RNP is not known. Lineage: Eukaryota; Metazoa; Chordata; Mammalia; Primates; Indriidae. The record is from Rfam by way of RNAcentral.